This 1168-nucleotide long non-coding RNA is filed under the name Salmo salar (Atlantic salmon). RNAcentral describes it as "lncRNA (ENSSSAG00000111765.1)". The record is from RNAcentral. Lineage: Eukaryota; Metazoa; Chordata; Actinopteri; Salmoniformes; Salmonidae.
GAACGCAGUAAUAGACCGCAUUUCUUGGAGGUACAGAGCUAUCCCACAAUUCAUUACGGAACAUGUAUUCUAUGGUGCCGAGGAGGACUAUAAAUUUGCAAGUGCCGGAACAGCGGUCUCUUUGCAGACAUGAGUGGAAAAGAGGUGAGUCGUCGUUUAUGGCAAUAGUUGCUUGCGUUUAUGGAAGUUGGAAUGGAGCCGGUAUUGAUAUAUUAUUGGCUGGCUAUCCUUGCUCCGGCCAAACGCUACGGCGGUUAGUUUCUUUCCGCAAUGAAGUAGCUAUUUAACGUUACCUAGUGAACAGAUGAUCGGAAGAAUUUAGUUUUAGUCGUCAGGCAAGACAAAUGGCUAUAACAUUAAGUGGUUGUGCCACUAUUCAGGUCUUCAGACAUGGGAGGGCUUCAAAUGGGAAUAACAUGAUCCCUUUCAAGGAAAGCAUGCUCCAUCAACUCCAUUGAAGGUGAUUCAACUCUAUUCAAUGUGUUUGAAGACUAAGCAUGGAACUGCUGGGACUGGCUUGAUGGUUAAAUGGAAAAGGUAUUGAAGGAAAGAACACAAUUUGGUGGACUGCUUGCAUUUCAGCAAAAAAAUAUCCAGGAAUACAUGCUGAUUGUUUGACAUUCAAUGGAGUUGAAGCAUAGAAGGUUGACCAAACAUGGUGCUGCUUGGACUGGAUUGCUGUUUCAUUGAGUCGAUGCAAGACGAUGCAGAUUGUAUGGAAUGCGACAACUCCAUUGAAGGAUGCCACAGGAUUGUUUCUUUCUGGACUUGGGUGGUGUACAGAAUGUUACAUCCUGCAGAUGAUUCACUAAACUCCAGGCCAGACUGUUUGUCUCAGCCACCAUCAGCUGUGUUCACAUGGCCCUUUGACACAUCCUGGAGUGUCAUUGCAUAAUCCUCUUGUCUUGCAAUGUCUGGUUUCUGAACAAAUGUACCACAUAAUGAAUUGUUGAAUGUUUUGCCUUGACUAUGGUCCCGACUGCAUAAACAUGGGGACCUUCUCAAUCAGUGAACAAUAAAAUUGAACUUUGUAAAUUUAUUUUGUCAUUAAUUAUAAUAGAUUUUAGCUAAUAGCAUUGAAAUAAUGUUAACUGGAAACCACUCUGACUGGUUAGUGUAGAACUGUAGUUUUUACAUUGAUGACAGUUUGUUAUAUAACCAAACCAGG